This is a non-coding RNA of Pelobates cultripes (western spadefoot toad), 1419 nucleotides long. NCBI's taxonomy places the organism in Eukaryota, Metazoa, Chordata, Amphibia, Anura, Pelobatidae. The record is from the annotation of a GenBank genome assembly.
CAUGUUAUCCGGAAGCAGUCAUGUCGGGGCAUCUGCACAGAACGUGAGAAUCCUCCUCGGCCCAGCUGGAGUCCGGGGGGGUCCGACAACUGACUUAUCGAACCCGAAGACUGACGUGAGCCGUGCUCGCAGCUGCGUGGGGAUAAAAAGCCGGCAAUACCAGAGUGAUGGGGGAGUGGGCACUCACACUUGGGAGAGUGGCCACUUGGUGAUGCAAGCUGCAGGUCUCCCAGCGCUGUGUGUGUAGGAGGGAAGCAAACAUGGCUGCUGGGGGAGAGGGUGGCAGGGGCUUGGAGGCACACAAGGUUGCAGCGGGCAGUGUGUGGGUGGCAUUGAGUGCCCAGCUGAGUAAAUACGGGCUGCCUGCCUCUAUAACACAGAAACAUGCUGCCUUUUAUUCACCACAGUCAGGGAUUGGGCUUGUUGAUUAGAGAGAGAACUUGGAAAAACGAAAUCAGGCAGAGAUGAAUAACUCAUUUUAAUUUUCGGAGCUAUUUUAUCCAAUUUCCGUAAUUCACAAGUUAGGAAAUAAAUGAUAUUAUUCUGAUUCUUCUUAUGGUCAGGGUUAUUCAAUAAAGUGCAAAUUGUCUUCAAUUCAAAGGAAUCAACAGUGCAUUUAUUUCAGGUUAUAGGCCAAAAAAAACCUGAAAAACUCUCCAAGUUAGUUCUGUUUUUAGACUGGCUUUUUGGCCAAAAUUCACUUUCUAAUUCCCGACAAUUCACAGUUUAGUGGUUAUAUCCUUGUUCUGAUCUUUGUCUGAGUAGGUUUGUGCCCCACAUUCAUGUUUAACCUUUUGUGUGGUAUGGUAUGCGGUGAAUCAGGCUCACUGAUGACACUGAAAGAGUUAACUUUUGUUUUCCAUUCUAAGAGUUUAGCCAACCCACCCAGCUAAACUCCAUUUUCAUUGUGUACUUUUGUUUGAAUGGUUGAAAUAAACUGAAUUUUUUUGUACUUUUAUCUUGUGUUGUUUAUUAAGUAUGAAAAUUAUAAUUUUUCAGUUAAAUUACCACAUUGCAGGAAAUGUAGCAGUGAAGUGUGUUCUAAAUCACUUUUGCUCUAAUAGCAAGACAUAACCCUUGUUCUGAAUGAGCUAAGGCUCCUGAUCAUUGAGAACAAGAUGUCUACUGUGCCAUAUAAUGUGGUCUGGAGUUUGGUCAGUGGUGUUGGGUGAGUGGGUACCCAUAGCUUCUGUUGUGUUAACUGUAAAGAUGAAACUCAUUCAUUUUGAAGGCCCUGGACUUAUUAUUCUAGUCAUCCAACCAUACCUGCCUUACUAAAAUUAUUAACCCCUUAUUUUUUAUAUUUGGAGUUAUCUUUUAUUAUGUAGGUAACUUUGAAUUGGUACUUCUAAUUCUUUUGCACAUUUAGAGAGGUCUGUUUUUAUUGCAUGUACAUUUUUGGAGAUGUCUUUGUAAACU